UCCAGCAGCCGCGGUAAUACGUUCCCGGGUCUUGUACACACCGCCCGUCACACCACGAGAGUUUACAACACCCGAAGCCGGUGGGGUAACCCGCAAGGGAGCUAGCCGUCGAAGGUGGGGUAGAUGAUUGGGGUGAAGUCGUAACAAGGUAGCCGUAUCGGAAGGUGCGGCUGGAUCACCUCCUUUCUAAGGAAAUACCCAACUACGAUGAUAGUUGGAUACUCAGGCAGAUUUUAUUGCUCACUCGUUGUCAGUUUUGAAAGAACAACCGACCCCUAAAAAGUGAAGAAAAGCGUUGCAGCUUAUUCCGAUUACUUUUCGGGGAUCCCGGAAACCGUCUUUCAAACAAAAUCCGUUUGGUGGCGAUGGCGGAGGGGAACCACGCGUUCCCAUACCGAACACGACCGUUAAGCCCUCCAGCGCCAAUGGUACUUAGACCGCAGGGUCUUGGGAGAGUAGGACGUCGCCAAGCGGGUGUCAUGUUACACCUUCGCAGCAGCCGCAAGGCUCAGCUGUGAUUUACUUUGCACCUUGAAAACUGGAUAACGAAAGAAAAGAAUUGCUGAAACAUCCUUUAGCAAAGCAUAUGCUUUCGAAGUAACUUUACUUCGUAAAGUUUAAGGUUAAGCUAUUAAGAGCGCACGGAGGAUACCUAGGCACACAGAGA
RNAcentral lists this unclassified non-coding RNA (667 nucleotides) under uncultured Paenibacillus sp. The record is from RNAcentral. Lineage: Bacteria; Bacillati; Bacillota; Bacilli; Caryophanales; Paenibacillaceae.